AAUCAUCACACUCAACCAACUGGAAUCAUGACUCAGCCAGUGCAUGAUGGCACUCAUCACCUACAGCUGCUGUUCUUGAGGAAAAAGGGUCCCACUUUGACCAAGUUGGUCCAGGGGUGUCUGCCAGCCCUCCAGCUCGCCAGUGGUCUGAUCCGUCCCUCCACAAUUUACGAAUGCAUGAUGUAUAAAAAUUUGAGACUCCUAAUUUUCUUCAUUUGUGAAAUCUUGACACUGAAAAUAUUUUUUCAUGGUUAUAUGACUAAUUUCACUACCCCUUAAUCUAAGUGGCUUUUCUAAUUAGGGUC
Molecule: long non-coding RNA, 305 nt
Filed under: Homo sapiens (human)
Lineage: Eukaryota; Metazoa; Chordata; Mammalia; Primates; Hominidae
Description: HSALNT0017660
Source: RNAcentral